GAUGAACGCUGGCGGCGUGCCUAAUACAUGCAAGUCGAGCGAACGGACGAGAAGCUUGCUUCUCUGAUGUUAGCGGCGGACGGGUGAGUAACACGUGGAUAACCUACCUAUAAGACUGGGAUAACUUCGGGAAACCGGAGCUAAUACCGGAUGAUAUUUUGAACCGCAUGGUUCAAAAGUGAAAGACGGUCUUGCUGUCACUUAUAGAUGGAUCCGCGCUGCAUUAGCUAGUUGGUAAGGUAACGGCUUACCAAGGCAACGAUGCAUAGCCGACCUGAGAGGGUGAUCGGCUACACUGGAACUGAGACACGGUCCAGACACCGACGGGAGGACGCAGUAGAGAAUCUUCCGCGAUGGAGGAGAGCCUGACGGAGGAACGCCGCGUGAGUGAUGAAGGUCUUCGGAUCGUAGAACUCUGUUAGUAGGGAAGAACAUAUGUGUAAGUAACUGUGCACAUCUUGACGGUACCUAAUCAGAAAGCCACGGCUAACUACGUG
This 497-nucleotide ribosomal RNA is filed under the name uncultured bacterium. RNAcentral describes it as "partial 16S ribosomal RNA". It matches the Rfam family "Bacterial small subunit ribosomal RNA", at positions 28 to 507 of the family's 1533-position model. The record is from RNAcentral.